Molecule: ribosomal RNA, 410 nt
Filed under: uncultured microorganism
Description: bacterial SSU rRNA
Rfam family: Bacterial small subunit ribosomal RNA
Source: RNAcentral
CAGCCGCCGCGGUAAUACGUAGGGUGCGAGCGUUAAUCGGAUUUACUGGGCGUAAAGCGUGCGCAGGCGGCCCGUUAAGACAGGUGUGAAAUCCCUGGGCUCAACCUAGGAAUUGCGCUUGUGACUGGCGGGCUCGAGUACGGUAGAGGGGGAUGGAAUUCCUGGUGUAGCAGUGAAAUGCGUAGAGAUCAGGAGGAACACCGAUGGCGAAGGCAGCCCCCUGGGCCUGGACUGACGCUCAUGCACGAAAGCGUGGGGAGCAAACAGGAUUAGAUACCCUGGUAGUCCACGCCCUAAACGAUGGGUACUAGCCGUUUGGUGCGCGAGAGCGCUGAGUGGCGAAGCUAACGCGAGAAGUACCCCGCCUGGGGAGUACGGCCGCAAGGUUGAAACUUAAAGGAAUUGGCGGG